GUUUUAAUCGCAGUUUUAAUUUACGCAUUUUCGCUAAAAUUAGGAAAAUUCUCAAAACUUGUUUAGCAUUUCGAGUCAACAUUUUGUACUGCCAAAUGAAACUUUAUGAAAACCAACGAAUCUGGUGGCCGGAACGAUAAAAAGCAAGUUGAAUAUUACGCCUUAUAAACACGGGUGGAAGUGGCAAAGCCAAAUGAAACUUUAUGAAAACCAACGAAUCUGGUGGCCGGAACGAUAAAAAGCAAGUUGAAUAUUACGCCUUAUAAACACGGGUGGAAGUGGCGCAGCCAAAUGCAACUUCUCGAAAACCAAAGAAUCUGG
This is a long non-coding RNA of Rhagoletis pomonella (apple maggot), 321 nucleotides long. RefSeq lists it as uncharacterized. The record is from RefSeq and is a predicted model, not a curated record. NCBI's taxonomy places the organism in Eukaryota, Metazoa, Arthropoda, Insecta, Diptera, Tephritidae. The transcript has 3 exons.